GAUGAACGCUGGCGGCGUGCCUAAUACAUGCAAGUCGAGCGAACAGACGUGGAGCUUGCUCCUCUGACGUUAGCGGCGGACGGGUGAGUAACACGUGGAUAACCUACCUAUAAGACUGGGAUAACUUCGGGAAACCGGAGCUAAUACCGGAUAAUAUAUUGAACCGCAUGGUUCAAUAGUGAAAGACGGUUUUGCUGUCACUUAUAGAUGGAUCCGCGCCGCAUUAGCUAGUUGGUAAGGUAACGGCUUACCAAGGCAACGAUGCGUAGCCGACCUGAGAGGGUGAUCGGCCACACUGGAACUGAGGCACGGUCCAGACUCCUACGGGAGGCAGCAGUAGGGAAUCUUCCGCAAUAGGCGAAAGCCUGACGGAGCAACGCCGCGUGAGUGAUGAAGGUCUUCGGAUCGUAAAACUCUGUUAUUAGGGAAGAACAAAUGUGUAAGUAACUAUGCACGUCUUGACGGUACCUAAUCAGAAAGCCACGGCUAACUACGUG
RNAcentral lists this ribosomal RNA (497 nucleotides) under uncultured bacterium. Its description in RNAcentral is "partial 16S ribosomal RNA". It matches the Rfam family "Bacterial small subunit ribosomal RNA", at positions 28 to 507 of the family's 1533-position model. The record is from RNAcentral.